RNAcentral lists this unclassified non-coding RNA (821 nucleotides) under Hevea brasiliensis (rubber tree). The record is from RNAcentral. Lineage: Eukaryota; Viridiplantae; Streptophyta; Magnoliopsida; Malpighiales; Euphorbiaceae.
GAAGAUGGUAUAUAACUGCAGGUUAAAGAUCUCCCCCACACCAAAUAAAAAAAACUUUAGUAGGACAAAAUUCCAGAUGAAUACCACAAUUUAAAACAACAUAAAUAAAAAUCUAACUCACAAUGGUCCAUAAAUCAUGAUACGAAUAUUCCAUAAGAUCACAAUUUUUUUCCAUGACUAUAAAUAUCUAUCUCACUCAAGGUCGUAAAGAACCAUCGCGUCAAGCAAUCCAUCCAAUCAAGAGAUCACUUGGGGCCAAUAUCCUUCAAAGCAUUAAUCUGUUCCUCACCCAUAGCUGACAUAACAGACACAACGAGGUCCUUACCCUCGGCAAACCCGUCCUUGAUCAGUGAAAGCAGAUUUUCAUCAGUAGGAAGCCUGAGGUCAUCCUUGGUGUUACCAUUGUCAGUAAGCAGACUCACAAAUCCAUCUUCAGAGAUGUCAAUAAGCUGAUAAUCUGUACGAUUAACAUGGGGCACAUCACAAUUGUGUGAAGAGGGGACAAUAUCCUCAAGCUUCUUCCCAGUGAAGAUGUCAAUAGCAACGAAAUGACAUUUGGCGUGACCGUGCUUGCCAGUUUUGGAUGUAGAGACUUCCACAACCUUGCAUGGACGGCCUUUGAUGACGAUAUAACCGUUCUUACGAAUAGUACCAGCUUGUUGAGGGUAAGUUUUUGAUGCUCCGGCAUCAGCCUUAGACUCAAAUUGAUGCUCCUCGUCAGACAUGGCUGAAAAAUUCGAUUGAACGGAGAAGGAGAAGGAGAAAAAUUCAGGAAGUAGAAUGGGUGGCGAGGGAGGCGAAGAGCACGUGAGGGACUAUUU